GAUGAAGAACGUAGCGAAAUGCGAUAAGUAAUGUGAAUUGCAGAAUUCAGUGAAUCAUCGAAUCUUUGAACGCACAUUGCGCCCGCCAGUAUUCUGGCGGGCAUGCCUGUCCGAGCGUCAUUUCAACCCUCGAACCCCUCCGGGGGGUCGGCGUUGGGGAUCGGCCCUGCCUCUUGGCGGUGGCCGUCUCCGAAAUACAGUGGCGGUCUCGCCGCAGCCUCUCCUGCGCAGUAGUUUGCACAAUCGCAUCGGGAGCGCGGCGCGUCCACAGCCGUUAAACACCCAACUUCUGAAAUGUUGACCUCGGAUCAGGUAGGAAUACCCGCUGAACUUAAGCAUAUCAAUAAGCGGAGGA
Molecule: unclassified non-coding RNA, 355 nt
Filed under: soil metagenome
Description: partial contains 5.8S ribosomal RNA, internal transcribed spacer 2, and large subunit ribosomal RNA
Rfam family: 5.8S ribosomal RNA (bases 1-120)
Source: RNAcentral